This 253-nucleotide ribosomal RNA is filed under the name uncultured bacterium. Its description in RNAcentral is "partial 16S ribosomal RNA". It matches the Rfam family "Bacterial small subunit ribosomal RNA", at positions 524 to 776 of the family's 1533-position model. The record is from RNAcentral.
UACGGGGGGUGCGAGCGUUAAUCGGAAUAACUGGGCGUAAAGGGCACGCAGGCGGCCUUUUAAGUGAGGUGUGAAAUCCCCGGGCUUAACCUGGGAAUUGCGUCUCAUACUGGGAGUCUAGAGUUCGUUAGGGGGGGGUGGAAUUCCACGUGUAGCGGUGAAAUGCGUAGAGAUGUGGAGGAAUACCGAAGGCGAAGGCGGCCCCCUGGGAAUGUAUUGACGCUCAUGUGCGAAAGCGUGGGGAGCAAACAGG